This 407-nucleotide ribosomal RNA is filed under the name uncultured bacterium. Its description in RNAcentral is "partial 16S ribosomal RNA". It matches the Rfam family "Bacterial small subunit ribosomal RNA", at positions 30 to 526 of the family's 1533-position model. The record is from RNAcentral.
AUUGAACGCUGGCGGCAGGCCUAACACAUGCAAGUCGAGCGGAGCGGCGGACGGGUGAGUAAUGCCUAGGAAUCUGCCUGGUCGUGGGGGAUAACGUUCGGAAACGGGCGCUAAUACUGCAUACUAUCAGAUGAGCCUAGGUCGGAUUAGCUAGUUGGCGGGGUAAAGGCCUGCCAAGGCGACGAUCCGUAACUGGUCUGAGAGGAUGAUCAGUCACAGUGGAACUGAGACACGGUCCAGACUCCUACGGGAGGCAGCAGUGGGGAAUAUGGGACAAUGGGCGAAAGCCUGAUCCAGCCAUGCCGCGUGUAUGAAGAAGGUCUUAGGAUUGUAAAGCACUUUAAGUUGGGAGGCGUUACCAACAGAAUAAGCACCGGCUAACUUCGUGCAAGCAGCCGCGGUAAUAC